CAAAACAAUCGUUGCGUCACUACUUGUUCAAAGAUGGCUGUUCGAUAGUGAUUGGAGUGGUGCUCUUGUUCUUAACACUUUUGGUUCUGUGAUUUUUAAUGUUUACUCAAAUUAAUGCAUAAAAAUAAUGUUAUCAGCUAUAGUAUCACGUUUAAUAAUACUGCUGUUUGGAACACUCUACCCCGCCUACGCAUCCUACAAAGCUGUUAGAACGAAAAAUGUCAAAGAAUAUGUGAAAUGGAUGAUGUACUGGAUCGUAUUUGCACUUUUUACAUGUGCAGAGACUUUUACAGAUGUAUUCCUAAGUUUCUGGUUCCCGUUCUACUAUGAAAUCAAGGUGGUGUUGGUAUUUUGGUUGCUGUCUCCAGCAACCAAGGGCUCCAGUAUACUCUACCGCAAUUUCGUACAUCCAGCGCUCAUCAAGAGAGAGCAGGAGAUCGAUGAGUAUAUCAGCAAAGCCAAGGAACAGGGAUAUCACACCAUGCUACAUCUGGGGUCCAAGGGUGUGACCUACGCUACGAGUAUGAUCAUGCAGACUGCCAUAAAGGGAGGUGGUGGCAUAGUGAACCACUUGCGGCGUAGCUACAGCCUUAGUGACGUCACAGGUGAACCUGAGCUCAAGUCUGAUAUGAAUCGUAACAGUAAACUGCAAGGUGACACUGUCGACUCAGCCGAUGUUCCUAGAGAUCCUCGAAUGAGGGCUCAACGCAUGCCCCCCGGAGGCAGCCACGUAGAUCUUUACUUCCCAGAAAUGGAUGUUGACAUUCGCUCACAUCCACAUUCCCAUGAGCUCCCAGUGAAAUUGAGCCAGAUCAGAUCUACCGAGGACAUCAGUUCCGGCUACUCCAGCGCUGAACCACUAUAUGGAGAUAGUCAAGUGGUGGGGGAAGGUGGGAAUCCGCUCACUCGAACUGCCUCUGUCGGGGCCACCAGACCCCGCCCUCGUCCCACCCGCACCACUCAAACUAAGAAGGCUUUAGCUGAGGUGACACGGGGAGUGCUACAAAUGCAGUAAGGACAAUAAUUUCAAUAUCUCCUGCCCUGUACUUGAAAGUGUCAUAUACAAGUAUUUAUCCCACCCAUCUAUGCAACACUACCGAAAAGCAAGAGGGUGGCCCGCAAAAAGACGCAAUGAAGACUGGAUAGUUCGAACAAACUUAAAGUACUUAUUUAAGAGCAAAUUUUAUUUCUUUUGUAUAGUGUUUUUGGCGUAUUCACAGUUUGAAACUGUUUUAGUAGCGUAAAUAUUAAGAAUUUAUUUUAGAGCACAUGAUAAUUUUGUUUUUUCUAGAGAGGCACGUGACGAUGCCGUAAACUGAUGUAAGGCAUUAAUUAUAGUACUAACUACUGAUGCUUUAACAUUGUAAGCCAAAUAUUUCCCCAUGAUAUUCUAUGAUAUUGUGAUAUAAUGUUUAUACAUUUUAUGCAUUUUACAAUGCCACAUCAAAAUGUUUGUUUUGUGUUCAAUUUUAUACUUUGAUAAUUAUAACUCGUUUUAUCGUUUUCGUUAGUCCUAUUUAGUUUAGUUCGUUAACACUAGAUUGAUAAUUUUGUUUUUUUUUUAUCUUUUUACCCAAGUAUACGCACAAAUUGCGAAUCUGUUUCAAAGGUUUUUAAAUAAUAGAAGAAGACAUGGUUUGUUAAUUAAUUUAUAUCUAGUUAUGGAUGUUACAAUCGAUGAUACAGAGAUUAUAACUUGUUAUGAAUAACCUUUAUUUAGAAAAAACAUUAUUGCAUUAUUGACAAGAAUUAUAAUUCCCACGGUACAUGUUUAUGGAAUCUGCUUGCAACUCAUAGUAAUUUAUCAAUGAACAAGAGUUAAUUGUUUGUUAUAUUUAACGUUAUUCUAGUCCCAUAAUUGUGCCUUUAGCUUCCUGUGUUAAUUAAUUUAUGAAUGAUACGCUAUUAAUGUUAUUGAAUAUGUGUCCAGGUAAAAUUGAAUAUAAAUCAAUUAUUUAUUGACCUGUUCAACCCAAUAUGUUGUUAAAUAAUGUACCUAAAAAAUGUACAGGUUUAUUAGAAUUGUUAAUGCUGGAUGAGUUACUUAAUUGGUAAGGGAGUCAGUAUUAGAUGCAAGUGGGUGCUAUUUGUUAAUCAAAUACCUAAAGAUUGUGAGAUGGUUUUAUUUGAAUUGUACCUUUGAAUCCGAUACUUGAGGCCUAAUUGAAUUUUUCUCUUAGUAUUUUUGUUUGGAGAUUGCAUUUUACAUUUUUUUGUUGGAGUGUAAUUUAAUUUUGUUUGUUAGUAGUAACCGAGAUGAUCUCUGAUAGUUGAUUAUAGACACAACUGGUUAGAGAUGUCAAUAAACGUUUUUUUUAUAAUUGUC
Molecule: unclassified non-coding RNA, 2326 nt
Filed under: Homalodisca vitripennis (glassy-winged sharpshooter)
Lineage: Eukaryota; Metazoa; Arthropoda; Insecta; Hemiptera; Cicadellidae
Description: receptor expression-enhancing protein 1-like, transcript variant X6
Source: RNAcentral